UAAAACUAGCCUUCCAAGCUAACGAUGC
RNAcentral lists this transfer RNA (28 nucleotides) under Radula scariosa. RNAcentral's name for it is "partial tRNA-Gly". Lineage: Eukaryota; Viridiplantae; Streptophyta; Jungermanniopsida; Radulales; Radulaceae. The record is from RNAcentral.